Molecule: ribosomal RNA, 324 nt
Filed under: uncultured bacterium
Lineage: Bacteria
Description: bacterial SSU rRNA
Rfam family: Bacterial small subunit ribosomal RNA
Source: RNAcentral
GAUGAACGCUGGCGGCGUGCCUAACACAUGCAAGUCGAGCGAAGCGAUUUUGAUGAAAUUUUCGGAUGGAAUUGAGAUUGACUUAGCGGCGGACGGGUGAGUAACACGUGGGUAAUCUGCCUUAUACAGGGGGAUAACAGUUAGAAAUGACUGCUAAUACCGCAUAAGCGCACGGGAACGCAUGUUUCCGUGUGAAAAACUCCGGUAGUAUAAGAUGAGCCCGCGUCUGAUUAGCUGGUUGGUGGGGUAACGGCCUACCAAGGCGACGAUCAGUAGCCGGCCUGAGAGGGUGAACGGCCACAUUGGGACUGAGACACGGCCCAA